Molecule: ribosomal RNA, 25 nt
Filed under: Ficus religiosa (bo tree)
Lineage: Eukaryota; Viridiplantae; Streptophyta; Magnoliopsida; Rosales; Moraceae
Also listed under: 1 other name
Description: partial 18S ribosomal RNA
Source: RNAcentral
CUGCCCAGCAGAAAGACCCGCGAAC